GGUGGUGGGUUGAGACAGCGGGCAGGUUCAGAUACGCAGAGCAGAGACACAGCUGGGGUGUGUUGAUGCGGCCAGAGACAUCAGAGACAUCACGGUGUUGGUGGCAGGGUGGAGUGAGAGGUUGUGGGUUGAGAUUCCUACGGCAUAUUUCAAUCCCCUGCUUUGGGACUCAUGCCUUGGGGAUAUUACAGACACUACUAUGUUGGAAGCGGUUGGCGGCAGGGUUCAUAGUUGCACAGCGGGCGCACAUGCAGACCCUACAUUACAGAGCGGUAGGUAGCAGGGCUCUGACGGGGUGACGUUGACAGUCAGUAUCUAGUGGCAUUUCCUGGUGGUGUAGAGGACCUACCUGUGCGGGGGGGCUGGGGGCCCUCCUGACAGCACCGAGUUAAGCUGGUGCAAAUGUAGCAUAUCAUGGAGUGCUUAGCGAAACUGAUGUCUUAAUGGAAUCUGAGCUGGGGGGGAUAAGGGGGCAGGUUACAUACAGAUGGGGGGGUUGGAUAAAGCUGUGAGUAAGCCACCGAAGGGGCGGGGCGGAGUUGUCCAGGGGUAGUGAUGAAGGGUAGACAUUGUGGGUAGGGUAAGGGCACCCUACCCCUACCCCAUACACCCCUACCAAGGGGUUGGGUUAUGGCGGAAGUGAGUAAGGUCCUCUUGGGUAGGGUAGCGGGUGUGUAGUAGUGCCUACCCAGCUGGGGUCACCGACCUUUUUACGGCAACAGGGGAUUGCAUAGUUGGUACGUAUUUAUGUGGGGCCUGCCUCUUAGUGCGUGGGCCCUCCAAUUCUUUGGCGAGAAGGUACACCUGCCACUUCCAUGCUGCAUAGAUUUAUAAAGACAGUUCCCCCUGAGUGUUAUCCUACAGAGUCCUACCUUCCUUGCCGAGCUGCUUUCCAAGCAUGGAGGGUCCUACUUUUUUGGGGGUAGGUGUGACUGGCGUGGCAUGAUGGUUGUCGUACGGUACAUAGCCUGGUGCUGCAUGAUCAACUUGCAGGACGAUGUAACGUUGGAAGACAACGAGCGUUUAACCGGCUUAUGUUGUGCUGAAGUGUUCUCAUUUGGCGAAAGGAGAGGCCCUGGAUUGUGUCCAAGCAAACGAUUGCCACCACGGCGAGCCGGAACCAUCACCAUCACUGCACGUAGCUAGGUGCCUGAGUGCGUAAUUUUUAAGUAUUAAUUAUUUAUUAUACUGAAGCGGGUGCUUUGCUGUUGCUUUUAUGUAACAUAUGGAACGAAUUAUA
Molecule: long non-coding RNA, 1240 nt
Filed under: Volvox carteri
Lineage: Eukaryota; Viridiplantae; Chlorophyta; Chlorophyceae; Chlamydomonadales; Volvocaceae
Description: long non-coding RNA (VCAR_LNC000163)
Source: RNAcentral